UGGGGAAUAUUGGACAAUGGGGGGAACCCUGAUCCAGCCAUGCCGCGGUGGUGAAGAAGGCCUUAUGGUUGUAAAGCACUUUAAGCGAGGAGGAGGGUACUGGUAUUAAUACUACCAGCUACGGGACGUUACCCGCAGAAUAAGCACCGGCUAACCCGGGGCCAGCAGCCGCGGUAAUACAGAGGGUGCGAGCGUUAAUCGGAUUUACUGGGCGUAAAGCGUGCGUAGGCGGCUAAUUGAGUCGGAUGUGAAAUCCCCGAGCUUAACUUGGGAAUUGCAUUCGAUACUGGUUAGCUAGAGUGUGGGAGAGGAUGGUAGAAUUCCAGGUGUAGCGGUGAAAUGCGUAGAGAUCUGGAGGAAUACCGAUGGCGAAGGCAGCCAUCUGGCCUAACACUGACGCUGAGGUACGAAAGCAUGGGGAGCAAACAGG
This 430-nucleotide ribosomal RNA is filed under the name Pseudomonadota bacterium. Its description in RNAcentral is "Proteobacteria bacterium partial 16S ribosomal RNA". It matches the Rfam family "Bacterial small subunit ribosomal RNA", at positions 355 to 776 of the family's 1533-position model. The record is from RNAcentral. Lineage: Bacteria; Pseudomonadati; Pseudomonadota.